RNAcentral lists this ribosomal RNA (497 nucleotides) under uncultured bacterium. RNAcentral's name for it is "partial 16S ribosomal RNA". It matches the Rfam family "Bacterial small subunit ribosomal RNA", at positions 28 to 507 of the family's 1533-position model. The record is from RNAcentral.
GAUGAACGCUGGCGGCGUGCCUAAUACAUGCAAGUCGAGCGAACGGACGAGAAGCUUGCUUCUCUGAUGUUAGCGGCGGACGGGUGAGUAACACGUGGAUAACCUACCUAUAAGACUGGGAUAACUUCGGGAAACCGGAGCUAAUACCGGAUAAUAUUUUGAACCGCAUGGUUCAAAAGUGAAAGACGGUCUUGCUGUCACUUAUAGAUGGAUCCGCGCUGCAUUAGCUAGUUGGUAAGGUAACGGCUUACCAAGGCAACGAUGCAUAGCCGACCUGAGAGGGUGAUCGGCCACACUGGAACUGAGACACGGUCCAGACUCAUACGGGAGGCAGCAGUAGGGAAUCUUCAGCAAUGGGCGAAAGACUGACGGAGCAACGCCGCGUGAGUGAUGAAGGUAUUCGGAUCGUAAAACUCUGUUAUUAGGGAAGAACAUAUGUGUAAGUAACUGUGCAAAUCUUGACGGUACCUAAUCAGAAAGCCACGGCUAACUACGUG